This 172-nucleotide ribosomal RNA is filed under the name uncultured Micromonospora sp. RNAcentral's name for it is "partial 16S ribosomal RNA". It matches the Rfam family "Bacterial small subunit ribosomal RNA", at positions 337 to 522 of the family's 1533-position model. Lineage: Bacteria; Bacillati; Actinomycetota; Actinomycetes; Micromonosporales; Micromonosporaceae. The record is from RNAcentral.
UCCUACGGGAGGCAGCAGUGGGGAAUUUUGCGCAAUGGGCGGAAGCCUGAUGCAGCGACGCCACGUGAGGGAUGACGGCCUUCGGUUGUAAACCUCUUUCAGCAGGGACGAAGCGUAAGUGACGGUACCUGCAGAAGAAGCACCGGCUAACUACGUGCCAGCAGCCGCGGUA